GACGAACGCUGGCGGCGUGCUUAACACAUGCAAGUCGAGCGAUGAAACUCCUUCGGGAGUGGAUUAGCGGCGGACGGGUGAGUAACACGUGGGUAACCUGCCUCAUAGAGGGGAAUAGCCUUUCGAAAGGAAGAUUAAUACCGCAUAAGAUUGUAGCUUCGCAGGAAGUAGCAAUUAAAGGAGUAUUCCGCUAUGAGAUGGACCCGCGUCGCAUUAGCUAGUUGGUGAGGUAACGGCUCACCAAGGCGACGAUGCGUAGCCGACCUGAGAGGGUGAUCGGCCACAUUGGGACUGAGACACGGCCCAGACUCCUACGGGAGGCAGCAGUGGGGAAUAUUGCACAAUGGGGGAAACCCUGAUGCAGCAACGCCGCGUGAGUGAUGACGGUCUUCGGAUUGUAAAGCUCUGUCUUCAGGGACGAUAAUGACGGUACCUGAGGAGGAAGCCACGGCUAACUACGUGCCAGCAGCCGCAGUAA
RNAcentral lists this ribosomal RNA (478 nucleotides) under uncultured bacterium. RNAcentral describes it as "partial 16S ribosomal RNA". It matches the Rfam family "Bacterial small subunit ribosomal RNA", at positions 28 to 523 of the family's 1533-position model. The record is from RNAcentral.